This 305-nucleotide small nuclear RNA is filed under the name Urocitellus parryii (Arctic ground squirrel). Its description in RNAcentral is "7SK RNA (ENSUPAG00010016463.1)". It matches the Rfam family "7SK RNA". From Rfam's summary of the family: 7SK was discovered as an abundant small nuclear RNA in the mid-70s but a possible function has only recently been suggested. Two independent studies have found that 7SK RNA binds the CDK9/cyclin T complex (known as elongation factor P-TEFb). P-TEFb activates transcription by phosphorylating the C-terminal domain of RNA polymerase II. The record is from Rfam by way of RNAcentral. Lineage: Eukaryota; Metazoa; Chordata; Mammalia; Rodentia; Sciuridae.
GAAUGUAAAGGCGAUCUAUCUGUGAUCUCUAGCACCCCAGUUGAUCACUAGGGUUGAUUCAGUUGAUCUGGCUGGCUAGGUGGGUGUCUCCUUCCUCCCUCUUCACUCCACAUGCAUCCCUCCCAAAGCUGCAUGAUUGGUCAGAGGAUGACCUUCUGAUAAGGGAAGACCACUGAYUGAGGACAGGUCUUCCAUCAAGGGUGUAGGAAUAGCUAUUUCCCUGCUAGAACCUCCAAACAACCUCUCAAGGUCUAAAGGACCUGGCUCAGAAGUACUCAGUGAAUGAUGCAGGCUGGCCUGAGCCU